Molecule: ribosomal RNA, 245 nt
Filed under: uncultured bacterium
Lineage: Bacteria
Description: partial 16S ribosomal RNA
Rfam family: Bacterial small subunit ribosomal RNA
Source: RNAcentral
UACGGAGGAUGCAAGCGUUAUCCGGAUUUAUUAGGUUUAAAGGGUGCGUAGGCGGAAUAUUAAGUCAGUGGUGAAAUCCUGCAGCUUAACUGUAGAACUGCCAUUGAAACUGAUAUUCUUGAGUCUAGUUGAGGUGGGCGGAAUGUGUCAUGUAGCGGUGAAAUGCAUAGAUAUGACACAGAACACCGAUUGCGUAGGCAGCUCACUAAGCUAUAACUGACGCUGAGGCACGAAAGCGUGGGGAU